GCGGAUGAGAGGAGCUUGCUCCUUGAUUCAGCGGCGGACGGGUGAGUAAUGCCUAGGAAUCUGCCUAUUAGUGGGGGACAACGUUUCGAAAGGAACGCUAAUACCGCAUACGUCCUACGGGAGAAAGCAGGGGACCUUCGGGCCUUGCGCUAAUAGAUGAGCCUAGGUCGGAUUAGCUAGUUGGUGAGGUAAUGGCUCACCAAGGCGACGAUCCGUAACUGGUCUGAGAGGAUGAUCAGUCACACUGGAACUGAGACACGGUCCAGACUCCUACGGGAGGCAGCAGUGGGGAAUAUUGGACAAUGGGCGAAAGCCUGAUCCAGCCAUGCCGCGUGUGUGAAGAAGGUCUUCGGAUUGUAAAGCACUUUAAGUUGGGAGGAAGGGUUGUAGAUUAAUACUCUGCAAUUUUGACGUUACCGACAGAAUAAGCACCGGCUAACUCUGUGCCAGCAGCCGCGGUAAUACAGAGGGUGCAAGCGUUAAUCGGAAUUACUGGGCGUAAAGCGCGCGUAGGUGGUUCGUUAAGUUGGAUGUGAAAUCCCCGGGCUCAACCUGGGAACUGCAUUCAAAACUGUCGAGCUAGAGUAUGGUAGAGGGUGGUGGAAUUUCCUGUGUAGCGGUGAAAUGCGUAGAUAUAGGAAGGAACACCAGUGGCGAAGGCGACCACCUGGACUGAUACUGACACUGAGGUGCGAAAGCGUGGGGAGCAAACAGGAUUAGAUACCCUGGUAGUCCACGCCGUAAACGAUGUCGACUAGCCGUUGGGGUCCUUGAGACUUUAGUGGCGCAGCUAACGCAUUAAGUCGACCGCCUGGGGAGUACGGCCGCAAGGUUAAAACUCAAAUGAAUUGACGGGGGCCCGCACAAGCG
This 870-nucleotide ribosomal RNA is filed under the name Pseudomonas sp. EST1R2A. RNAcentral's name for it is "bacterial SSU rRNA". It matches the Rfam family "Bacterial small subunit ribosomal RNA", at positions 66 to 931 of the family's 1533-position model. Lineage: Bacteria; Pseudomonadati; Pseudomonadota; Gammaproteobacteria; Pseudomonadales; Pseudomonadaceae. The record is from RNAcentral.